Molecule: long non-coding RNA, 557 nt
Organism: Hippocampus zosterae (dwarf seahorse)
Lineage: Eukaryota; Metazoa; Chordata; Actinopteri; Syngnathiformes; Syngnathidae
Exons: 2
Source: RefSeq, a predicted model, not a curated record
CGCCUUCCCCAUCCGCCCUCAUCAUCCUCCCCCCCUCCAACUCCUCCGCCAUCCGAUGCUCCACUUCCGGGUCCCGCAGCAGCACGUGCACUUCAUUAGGAUAAUCUGCCUCAUUAGCAACUCGGUCCCGUCCAAUCGUCGGGCCGGCGCAGAGAUUCCGACACCGACGAGCCAGCGCUCCCGAGGCCUGCCUUGGCUUCUAUUCCGGGAGAGGCCGCCUGUCAAUCAUGCCCCUCAUCGGGACCCCGAUCUGCAUGGCGCAGCUGUGACGUAACCGAGGCUAAACCUCAUGCACACACGCACGCCAAUGAAGACGAGAAAGCAGCUGCCCCCCCCAUCCCACCUCCACACACACACACACACAAAGAGAGAGCCAAGAGAAAUAGAGAUAGGAGUGCAGAGUGCAAAUAGCCUACUUAGAGUUUAAAGUGGCUAAUUAGAAAGCUAAUCAGGGCUCACUUUCUCACCCCCCGACUCUCGUAAUGAAACGCUCCUGUCCUCGGUAUGUCCCGAGACAGCUGCGGAUGGUAGCCCACUCCAAACAAAACAAAACAAAA